This 494-nucleotide ribosomal RNA is filed under the name uncultured bacterium. RNAcentral's name for it is "bacterial SSU rRNA". It matches the Rfam family "Bacterial small subunit ribosomal RNA", at positions 8 to 526 of the family's 1533-position model. The record is from RNAcentral.
AGAGUUUGAUCCUGGCUCAGAACGAACGCUGGCGGCGUGGAUAAGACAUGCAAGUCGAGCGGGGUAAGUAGUGUAGUAAUACAUUGCUUAUCUAGCGGCGAACGGGUGCGUAACACGUGAGAAUCUACCGAAGAGUGGGGGAUAGCUCGCCGAAAGGCGAAUUAAUACCGCAUACUCAAAGCAGCAAUGCGCUUUUCGAUGAGCUCGCGGCCUAUCAGCUUGAUGGUGAGGUAAUGGCUCACCAUGGCAAUGACGGGUAGCUGGUCUGAGAGGACGACCAGCCACACUGGGACUGAGACACGGCCCAGACACCUACGGGUGGCAGCAGUCGAGAAUUUUUCACAAUGGGCGAAAGCCUGAUGGAGCGACGCCGCGUGGAGGAUGAAGGUUUUCGGAUUGUAAACUCCUGUCAUGAGAGAACAAAGCCUGCAAAGGUCUGAUAGUAUCUCAAGAGGAAGGGACGGCUAACUCUGUGCCAGCCGCCGCGGUAAUUC